AAGUCGUAACAAGGUUUCCGUAGGUGAACCUGCGGAAGGAUCAUUAUCGAGUCUUGACUGGGUUGUAGCUGGCCUUCCGAGGCAUGUGCACGCCUGGCUCAUCCACUCUACACCUGUGCAUUUACUGUGGGUUUCGGAUGGUGAAAGCGGGUCCCUUGCGGGGUUCGCAGAAGCUGUCCGGGCCUGCGUUUAUUAUAAACCCUUUAAAGUAUCAGAAUGUGUAUCGCGAUGUAAUGCAUCUAAAUACAACUUUCAGCAACGGAUCUCUUGGCUCUC
This 276-nucleotide unclassified non-coding RNA is filed under the name air metagenome. Its description in RNAcentral is "partial contains small subunit ribosomal RNA, internal transcribed spacer 1, and 5.8S ribosomal RNA". The stretch from base 1 to 46 matches the Rfam family "Eukaryotic small subunit ribosomal RNA", at positions 1786 to 1831 of the family's 1831-position model. The record is from RNAcentral.